Small nuclear RNA from Trichechus manatus latirostris (Florida manatee), 107 nucleotides. Lineage: Eukaryota; Metazoa; Chordata; Mammalia; Sirenia; Trichechidae. The record is from RefSeq and is a predicted model, not a curated record.
GUGCUCCCUUCAGUAGCACAUAUACUAAAGUUGUAAUGAUACAGAGAAGACUAGCAUGUCCUCUGAGCAAAGAUGAUGUGCAAAUUCAUGAAGCUUUCCAUAUUUUU